Long non-coding RNA from Epinephelus fuscoguttatus (brown-marbled grouper), 9852 nucleotides. RefSeq lists it as uncharacterized. The record is from RefSeq and is a predicted model, not a curated record. The transcript has 4 exons. NCBI's taxonomy places the organism in Eukaryota, Metazoa, Chordata, Actinopteri, Perciformes, Serranidae.
AAUGAGGGAAACAGACAGGGAGAGGAGGAGGAGGAGGAGGAGGAGGGAAGAGGGAUGCUGCAUUUUAGUGAUAGCACAGACUGAGACUGCAGGAGCAGACAGAGGGAUGGAGAGAAUCGAUGAGAGAAGUAGAGGAGCAUUGUCAGAGAGAGCACGACAGGAUUCCCACACAGAUUGUGACAAACGUGUACCUGAGGGAGCAGCAGAGGAGGGGAAAGAGAGGGGGAAAAACUUGCAUCUCUGACCUCAGCAAGUCAAAAGACACUUCUCCUGCACAGGGAGGAGAGAGGAAACCACCUGUAAUCAAACUCAGAGACUACCAGCAGGCUGUCCUCCCAUCUGUCUUAACAGGAUGCAGAGGUGUCAUUUCAGUGCCCGGGACAAAGGGAAAAGCUGAACGGAUCCUGACGUGUUGUUAGAGAGAGAAGUCAAGAAAAAAAAAAGAAAGAGAAAACUGAGGAACAGUUGCAAGCCUCUGGAAGGAAAAGGGAGGAGAGAGCAGUAUGAGUCAGAGCACAGCAGCUAGAAUACUGUGUAUUCUGCAUGCAAGAGGAGAGGUGGAGGGAGAUGGAGGAACAAUGAGGGAGAUAUAGGGGGAGGAAAAAACAGAGGACUUGACCAGAAUUGAGCAGUCAUUAGACAGAAGAAGGACAAGAUGAGAAAGAAUCAGCCACACUGACAGGCAAGUGGGUGAGAUAUAGGCCAAGUGAAUCAGCCUGCUGGAGGGAGAGGAAGGCGAGAAGAGGGUGAGUUUAGAAAGUGGGAGGUUUGAUAUGACUGACGAGGGUUAAGGGAAGGUUGAAUGAAGGUUUUGCUGCAGGGUGGACAGUGAACAAUAAACGGCAAAGGACAGAAGGGCAGACUUAAUGAAAAACUAUGUGAGCAGCUCCAGGGGAGAAAGUCCUCAGUGACUGUGUCUUGCUACAGGGAGGGAACAUGACUGAGGUCUGCAUAUGGCAGGACGAGCUUCAAGAAGAUUGACCAUUAAGAAUGAAAGAAACGAUGGAGAGUAGAGGGUUUAAAAAAGAGCACAAAAACAUACAGGGACAGUGAACAUGGCAAGAUAAGAGCAAAAUUUCACAUCCAAGCCGAGAGCUAAAAAGGAACACACUGCAGACCAGAGGAACAUGUCAUCCAACGCACAACGUCGGGGACGUGGAAACUUUAACUGUGACAGCAACACAGCAAGAGGUUCCUGUUAAAUAUUGAUGCUGACAGGCCACUCUGGAAAGAGCUCGCUCCUUGCACCACAGAGGGGGAAACAGAAGGAAGAAACACAGCUGCUUUUUUUAUUCUGAGGGAUUUUUAAACUGGAAUAGACAAGCUGUUAAGUAUGUCAGAUGAAAACCGAGUGGGGUUAAGUUCAAAUGUUGCUACAAAUUAAGACAAGACGUAUGAAUUAGCAGACAGUUGGCUUCCUGGAGGUUCUUUGUUUUUUUGUUUUUCUGGCCAGCUGUGCAAGUUCUUGGGGAGAGUGGAGUAACUACAGAGAGAAGAGCAGGACCUUAUUCUUGUGUGAGACGACAAGGAAGACGGAAAUUAACAUCUGAGAGUUCACUGACACCACAGCUGGACUGGAACAAUUUCUUCUUUUCUAUGAGAUCAAGGACCAGCCCUGGCUCAUGAAUACAGAUUCAUAUUUUGGACUGACAUGUUAUACCUGCUUUGACAGGUACUCCUGGGGUGCAUCAAUGCCAGAUGAGAGGAGCCAAACACUGGUGAAGCACUCAUGAAUGUUGUCUAUUUUUAUUUUGUCCUGGACUGAUUGGAACUGCUCCAGCUAUCUUGAAAAAAAAAAUGGCCUCAUUACAGAGAUUUGGCCAGUGGAGGAUUGCUGUCAUGGCUUGAGGAAAUAUAAGUGUGGAGAUACUUUGAUGUGCGUAAACACGCAGGAUCCUUUAAUUUGAAGGGGGAUGUAUACUUUGAUUUUGUCUCCAUGACUACAUGAGGGCGACUCUCCAACUUAAUGUCACCAAGACAUUACAAUAGAGACACCCUUCACACUGACCUGAAUCACAGAUUCCUCAGAACAUCCCAACAGUAACACGGGAAGACACAACGCCACAGUCUCUAUCCAGUUGCGGACAGACCAGCUGCGUGUUCGUGUGUGCGUGGCUGCAUGGGGGUAUAAGGACUGUCGAGGAGCUCAGCUGUGUUUGUGCGUAUGCUUGUGUGGGUGUGGGUAUAGAGGUGUGAGUGUGAGCCCAGCUGUGUCUGAGUACAUUUUCAAAGCAUCGCCUGGAGCUGUGUGAGCGUGUGUUUGCGUGUGUUUGUGUGUGUGUGUGUGUGUGCGUGCGUGUGUGUCGCCUGGAUUCUCCCCACCAGCGACAGAGCUGGACCUGAACAGCAGUGGUGAGAGGGGGGACAGGGAGGGGGAGGAGGAGGAGGAGAGGAGGGAGGUGAAAGAAACCAGCAGGACGGAGGAGAAGAAAAAACUGACAACAUGCUCGGAUAAAGAGAAGAAAGACAGGAGUUUUUGGCUGCCCCCCUGGUGCAAUGUGUGGCGUCGUGCCCUGUGGGGGUGGGGUUCUGUGAUGGUAACCAUGGUCCCCGGCAGCCGCUAUGUCUGCAGCGCUCAUGCUAGAGAGGAAGACGCCACGAACGACCGAGAGGAGCGAAUUUUAGCCGUGUUGGGCAUCAUCGGAACCAUCCUCAAUCUCUUGGUGGUCAUAUUUGUCUACAUCUACACUUCCGUCACCUAAGGUUUUCUGCAAGACUUGAACAAGAGACGUUGGCACUGUCCCCAACUUUUCUUUGCACUGCCACCCUCUUCUUUAAAUAUUGAAAGGGUUCGGUUGUUCAGAGUGAGCAAUAUGAUGUGAGGAUCAUUGGCAGUGUGUUCACCUGGAUAGUAGCCAUAUUUAUCCACACCUGCAUCACUGCCUAUCCAAUAAGACUGCUUUUCUCUAGACUGCUAACGGUAACAGGGACAGAGCUGCAGGUGGAGUCAGCUUUUCAAGACAGAUCCACGUCAAAUGACUAUUGACAGUGUGUCCAGUUUGCCAGUGGUCACAUGUUUCUGCAUUCAUAUGAGUGGGACAUAGCACUUCUGUGACUGCUUAAGUGUGUUGCAUCUUUGUCCCAUAACAUGUAAAAGUGUCUUUGAACAAUCAAGCUCAUUUGUGAGAGUUAAAAUAUCAUCACUGCCAGGUAAAUUUAUUGAAAUGGUUUGACGAACAAGGCAACUUUGAGUGAGCUUGACCAAAUAAGAAGUUAGCGAGAUAUGCCAUACACUGCUGAAACUAUUUAAAGGGACCAAAAUUGCCAAGAGAAAUACUAAUCCAUAGGCCUAUCUACUGCUGAGCACCCUUAAAAUCUACUUGAAUAGAACAUUUAUCCACUCACACCUAUUGCUAAAUACCAGUUUCUGUAGUUAAUAGAGUGACUCAAAGGGUUUUACAUGGACCUAAUGUGUCCACACCUAAGCACACCAGAGGAGAGAUUCCUGGCUGUGCUGGGAGUCAUCGGCAUCGUACUCAACCUCCUACUGCUCGUCUUCGUCUAUAUAUACACCUCCGUCUGAUAUAUGUGCUCAUACACAAUAUCCGCCAUGAGAAAAUCCUGCCACACCUAACAGCACCUGUACCUUAGAGCAUAGUGUUCAGCCACACCUGUAUAUAAUGUACCUAAGCACAUCCUAGCCAAGUUGGAGAUUAUAUGAUAUUCUAAGCAGGUUGCUGUGCCUAAUAAUAUGGUGAUACUCUAAUCAUAACAUGUUGAAUGGAGGGUGAUGAGGGAAUUAAAAGGCAAGUGACAUCCAACAGGAGAUUUGUUCACAGACUAAUUUAUGAUAGAAAUAUACUUUAAGACUUUACCUUUUUUGUAUAAAUUUGUGUCUUACAGUUGGUGUUUUUGUAGAUGCAGUGCUCCUUCACAUAUCUGCAUGAUGACAUGUUUACUUAUUAUAAUCUUUAACACACCUUGACUUAAAUACCUGAUGUAAAGACUGCCAUUUCUUACAGUUAUUCUGUUUGUUCUACAUGCUUAUUGAUGUUGUAAACACCCAGACAUGGAGCUGGAUGCUGUUGCAGCUCUGCGCACCUUCAGAGCUCUCUCUGUGGAGGGUUGGUACCAUGGGAUAAUGAUCUAUUUUUUGGUGUCAUGUUUCUGUGAUUGGAUCUGUAAGGCCGGCGAGGAGCAGCAUCAGCGAGGGCAAAGCGUGGAACUGAGACAAUGUCACACAAAUUCAGACAGCGGCCUGUUGCAGUGUGGAGUGCCUGAAAAAAGAGGACAUAAAACCUCUGCACAAGGCCUCUCCAUCUGUCUUGAAACUCAUAAAGGCACAAAAAACUCUCCAGGACUGGGUUACAGCGUUUCCACUAGAGCUGCAUGUCACUAUGGAUAUGAUUUUAGGUUCAAGCACUGGGCCUGUAAUGGAGGAGCAAACCUAAAUGCAGCUGACACGCGAGCAGAGAGGACUGGCCUGAAUCUACACAUGAUCCUCGUCAUUCUCUUCUCCACCAACAAGCUGACGCCGGAGAAGACAUAGUACUGAGAGGACCCACAUGAGCUUCUGCUGUCGUUUCACAUAGCACAAUACUUUUAUAUAUAUGCACAUGCACGGACUUCAUUUCAUACACUGUCAGUCAGACAUUUGGGGGUGAAGACAAAAAGAGGAGGCCCUCACGACCAACUCUGACUGCUCACUUUGACAUGUUGGCUUGUGAGAACUGUGAAUUGUGAGAGGUACUGAGAUUUUGAUAACCAUUGCAUAUAAGAUUCCUUCUUCCAUAGUGUAUUAUGCUCUUAGCGUUAGCAACAGUUUAUUAUUGAGGGUUUUGUUUGAAUCCAAAAGUCACAGUCACUACAGUGGAAAAUGUUUGGUAUGAAAGUCAACGAAUAACUUUGGUUCUGUUGGCCACUGUCUAUUUUUAUAAAGUGUAGAAUAGUACAGAUAAGUAUUUCCAUGGCCAUGACUACAGAAUGCUGGAUGAACAAAUGACCGCAAUUUGCCUGCAGGAAUGAUAAGUUUUACUAUGAAUGAUCAGUUGCUUUGUUUAGUUCCAAAACAGCAACCAGGACAAAUUACAAAGGUACAUUUUAGUUACUUGCAUUGCUUAAGAAAAAUGUCUUUCUCACCAUCUCACAAACAUCUGUACUUCCUUAGUUGAGGACCAUUGUUAAUAAAUUGUAUUAGCCUUUAACCCUAACCCUUUAGCCCCGUUUUCACCAAGCAGUACCGUACGGUUCACUUCAGUUCGGUUUGCUUUUUUUCCGUUCCCAUUGUGAAAAGUUGUGGAUGGUACCAAUGGAACUGUUCUGUGCCGUCCCCAUUUUUGGUCCCCCCUCUGUUGGGGUACCUAGCACACAGAUCUGGUACUAAAAGGUGGAGCUGUGAACACUGCAGGCUGCUGAAUGGUCAAUAGAGGACGGUCACUCUGCUCAGGGCUGAGUUGUGGCUGGUUUUGAAGCUCAUGUAACCACUGUUCAUACUAUGGAGAGUUUCAUUAGAAGACUGUAACUAUAAAUUAAAGGAUGUUUUGCUGCCUCUCACAGCAGCUGGAGUUGGAGAAAAAAAUAACUUAAUCCACUGGGCCAACUGCAGGCAACUUUUAAAGUGGAUCGUUAACUUGUAAUGUUACUUAAUGCAUGAGUUGACAACGUGAAUCAAUCAACACACCUUAAAGAUGACAUUUAAAAGUACUGUUUGCAGUGGAAACACUGGGGUCUAGGUACCAUGUCUGAAGGGUUACUUUUGGUUCCGAAGGUACCAUACCGAAAGUGUUUGGUGGAAACGGAGCUUAACACAACAUGCUUACUCCCCAAAUUUUAUGUAACAUUUACCUAUUUCUGGAAAUCUUAAAGCAAAACUAAGGCUCAUCACAUCUUAGGCUUCUCUUGAUUAUGGUAACAUUGUACUUACCAAAGUCACUGAUAAGAUUAGGGGACAUAGUGGCAUCACACAAGAUAUAUGAUCAUGUGGCCACUACUGUUUCCUGCUCCCUUGACUUAUUUUUAGCAUUUCCACAUUCUUAAAUCUCAACCAAUAGUUCAGAGUAGUUCAACUAUUAAAAUAAAACCCAAAUUUUAAUAAAUCAUUACUCUUAUUUAGCAUUAAAUAGGCUAACCCUUAUGUCUCCCAAAAGCCCUCAAUAUCUAAAUCUCAAACCGGUCCUCACAAAGAUAGAAAGAGAGCCCCCCUACACACACACUUGCUACUUGCGUCCUCAUGAAUUUAAGUUUACACCAUCUUUCAGCACACAUCAGGAGAUUCGACCGUUAGCACGCUGAGAUCGAUGUGACUUGCACAUUUACUUCCUGUCACAUCUAAUAACUGUACAGUGGAGUUUGUUGAGCUAAAUCCAUUUUAAGAGUGCACCAAAGCACAGUGUGAGCCACCUUUGGUUUGCCAGACAUCUGCUGUCAGACUGUGACAGUCGAAGCCACAGCUGUGCAGAAACGCAUUCAAAUAGACUUUGAAAUAACUAAAAGUAGGCUACUGAGGAUAUUUUUGGUUCACUUCGUGCCACCUCUAAAAGGGUCACUUGAUGUUGGCAAACAAACAAACCAAACAAGCAACUGUUUAACUCAGGUUUACUAAGAUACUGGCAGAGGUUUUAAAAUACCACUUUCCAAUAAAGGCCCCUUCAUAAAGGGUUUAUAAGUUGUGGCUAACAGCUAUAUUAAUGUUGAUAAAUACUUUGCUAAUGCUUUACUUUAAUGUUAUAUUAGUUUAAAGCCAUUAAUAAGAACAAGUCGUAGGUUGCGCUUUGGCUGGUGUUUAUCCGCUUUGUGAUAAGGCACACUUUUAUAAAUCAUUAAUUUUAAGUAAUGUCUUAAUUAGUGGUUAAUAAUUUAUUCACGAAUGCUUCAUAGAUCCGUUUGAACCCAGUGUAAAUGAUUUAUUAACCAAUUGCUAAAUCAAUUUAACUGCAGUAGUUAAUUUUGCAAAGACACUGUAUGCGUUUAACAAGCAGACUGUACAAUUCCUGUGAAGAUGGAAGUUAACACGCUGUCCCUGAGUGUCCAAAACUGAUGCUAGAGAACUACGUGCAGGACCACUGACUCAUUGGUAAUAUAUGGUGCCUCACUGGAAAGUGAGACCGAAUUUAGCAAAGUGGGUUUUCAAAGGACAGCGGUAAAAUCAUCUCUCUCUAUUUUCUACACAGAAACAACUAAGACAUAUAUCAAAUGUUUUUAACUUCACUGAAAUCAACAGGCCUAAAUAUGGGACGGGAACUGCCCAUUGGUUCGACAUCCCAUUGUUCUGACCAUAUUAAACUCAUUGUUCCGAAGUCCGUUCCGAAAUCAUCAUGAUGCCCUGUGGUUAAGGUCUGGUUAGGUUUAGGCACAAAAACCACUUGGUUAGGGUCAGGAAAAGAUCAUGGUGUGGGUUAAAAUGAAAAAGAAAGUGACAAACACAUAAGCCGUGAGACUGCUCCGCCUCAAGCCGGUCGCGGCGCACCAUACGCCCGCCGAGAGCCGUUCAGCUGCGCAGACAGUCGGACUAAUGGGAUGUUGAACCAAUGGACUGUCGAACCAAUGACAUGGACCCAUGUGGGACAGGCCUUUAAUUCCUUUCACACAAAACUGUUGCUCAGCAAAGACCGAGUAAUACAAUCAUAUUGUUGAUUUAAACCAGUAUGAAUCUUACUUGUUUGAAGAUUAGGCUUCAGAUGAUAUAUCAGUUAUGAAUCAUUCAUUUGAUCUAGCUCCGACAGACAGCGCAUCAGAGAGUGAGUGAGUUAACGGCACUCGAGGAUUACGGCACCUUGCAUAUCAGCCCAGUAUCACUCCGAAGUCGUCGAAAUCCGGCGCUUGGGCUUUUGGUGUCAGAAACCAAUGACAAAGGCGUCCUUUAACGUUGGCAUGAUACCCGGCAGGUCAGCGGUAGCAGGGGAAAACGCAGCUGGCAAGGACAAAAGUUAAGGUGGCAAAAGUCCAAUUGGGGCAAACAUGAGGGGUGGUGGAUGGGUCCAACAAACACCAGCUUUCACCCAAGCGCUGUGUUCACAUCACAUAAGACUCUAAAGCCAAACCCUAUUCUUUUUUUCCUGAACCCAACUACGUGCUUUUGUUGCCUAACCCAACCAUGUGUGUUUGUGGUUGACAUGACCAAAACGUUAAUAUGUGACGAGGUCAGAGUGAGAAUGUGUUGCUUUAUCCUGUUAAAACAACUCUCUCUCUCUCUUAAUUUUUAUGAAAUACCCUUUUGAUUCUUUUGAUCUAAGGACCUUUACAGACUAAAGAAAUAUAAAUAACUUACAGGGUAAUCGUGGAAUGGACACAGUUUGAGGUAGCCAACAACCUGGUUUUAUAUAUUAUUUAUCCUAUUUAUCCGAAGAACUUCUAUAAAAAAUGCUUGGCAACCAGACCGGGCUUCUAAUUGAGACAGGCCUUUAUUUGUCAAAAUGUGUAGCCACACCGGGCUAGUAAAAGGGACUUUUUCGAGCCUUCAACAUAUUUAAUAAAUAGCAAUUGCAAAAACAUGAAAUAAAAAUCAUUGCAGAUUUAUAGUCUUUAUUAUAGUUUUCUGUAGUCUUGGUCAGGGAGGAAUUGCCAUCAUGUCCGCAGUGAUAAGCACUGACUGAUCUGUCCAGAGCAGCUUUUGAUAAGUGGACCUCGCUCCGUGGCUACAGUACCUGGGAUACAUGUUAUUGUGUGUUUUGUAUGCAGUCCAUGUUUUCAGUUGAGAUCUGUUUUAACAUGACACACUCACUGCCAAACAGACCAACGACAGGGGAGAGCCUAGAGGGCGAGUCCUGACCAUCUGCUGUCCCAACAGACAUUCAGCCACUUCCUCAAAGUACACACACACAUACACACAUACACACAGCAUGGACAUUUUUUUAACAAUGCAACUCAAAAGUCUCCCUCACACUUCAAAAUACACACAUUUUUACAUUGUUUUUUACAUUUCUUUGAUGCCUGUUUACUGUAUUUUAUCAUUUUUACACGGUCAACAGGCCAACAUGUGCACACACAUCAUGUUAUCGAAACAGUACUCAAUGCCAGAGGAAAAACAGGUGCAUCAAGGUACACCUGGGACUCCAAACCACUGCCCCAGGCACAGAGUGUUAACACAAAACACUGAAAACAAGAAAGCAAUGUUCAAAGACAGGCAAAUGCUCAUUCUGAGUCUGGAUUCAAAAAAUGUUCUUCCUCUGAGUCUGAGCCAGCCAGCGACUGUGUUAUGUUCAGCCAAAGCAAAGAUUCCCAUGUUUUUUCAUGAUGCAUGAGCCGAAUUGAUUUUUAGCCUGAGAGGGCAUAUUGCACACAGACUGUCUGAGACUAGACAAGAGGAGAUAAUGUGGACAAGAGGAUCCCUAAGAUAUGUUAAUGUUAUUUCAGUGCAACAAAGCUGAAGAAAAUUGAGUCAUCUCAGAUUUUGACCAAAAUGAAGUCUGAAAAAAAGAAAAACACUUAUUUGCCUGUGAAGGUUGAAUUGUUACUGCCUUGUUUUGUACAAACAGAUUCCACUAAUACAGUGUUUUCUGCGUUAUCUGCUGCACAAGGCUGAGAAGAGGUACCUUUGAAUGCAAAUUAUUCCAUGAGCAGGCAGGUCCAGGGAACUGCCAGGUGUAACAGAAAGCCUGAGAAAUUAGCCUUUGACCAAAGUUUUGUGUGACAUGUUGAUUUACUGACUAACAUUCCAGGACAGUAGCUGCUACAGCACUAAUAAAAUAAACUGUAGCUUUGAAAUGGGAGAUAACGUUUGCCUCUAUCAGCAAGAAAUAGGUAUUUUAUUUUAAUAAGGAAGUUACGUCCUCUAGAAUAUGUGUGAACAUGUCGAUUUCUGAUGAGAAACAGUUUGUUAUGAUCCUUGAGAAUUAACUUUGAACAAAUGCUGUGAGAUCUGGUGUGCUUUCAUGUAUUGUUUAUAUAUAUAUGUAUAAUGUAUAGUUAACAGUA